CAUCACUACGCUAGAUGCAUAUCAAUAAGCGGAGGAAAAGAAACUAACAAGGAUUCCCUUAGUAACGGCGAGUGAAGCGGGAAGAGCUCAAAUUUGAAAUCUUCAAGGUUUUACCUUGACGAAUUGUAGUUUAAAGAAGUGUUUUCUGUUGGAGUUUUGGUAAAAGUUCUUUGGAAUAGGACAUCAUAGAGGGUGAGAAUCCCGUAUUUGACCAUUAUUUCCAACUUUGUGAUACACUUUCAAAGAGUCGGAUUGUUUGGGAAUGCAGUCCAAGAUGGGUGGUAAAUUUCAUCUAAAGCUAAAUAUUGGCGAGAGACCGAUAGCGAACAAGUACCGUGAGGGAAAGAUGAAAAGAACUUUGAAAAGAGAGUUAAACAGUACGUGAAAUUGUCAAAAGGGAAGCGUUUGACACCAGUGUUGUUUUCUCGAAAAUCAAUUAAAAAUGAUGGGAUUUUGUGUUGUAUUGACUUUAUCAGCUUUCUGCACUUUUUUCUUAUCUUUUUUAAUGCACUUUUCGUUUAACAAGUCAACAUCAAUUUCUUUUGUUGUAAAAGAGUCAUUGGAAGGUGGCUUUUCAUUUCGGUGAAAAGUGUUUAUAGCCUUUGACUUCUGCAAUCGGAGAGAUUGAGGUCUGCAGCGUAGAUCCUUCGGGGUUAGAUACAUUUGUGCUAAGUUAUAGUUCUUUCAUAGACAACAUGUUGACUAUGAUUAAUCAUGUAGCUUACUCGCUUAUGCUAUUUUACCUACGCUUAGGAUGUUGACGAGACUGUCGAUCUC
RNAcentral lists this ribosomal RNA (777 nucleotides) under uncultured Neocallimastigales. Its description in RNAcentral is "partial large subunit ribosomal RNA". It matches the Rfam family "Eukaryotic large subunit ribosomal RNA", at positions 20 to 646 of the family's 3401-position model. The record is from RNAcentral. Lineage: Eukaryota; Fungi; Neocallimastigomycota; Neocallimastigomycetes; Neocallimastigales.